CGCAUAUGGUCUUCGGAUUAAAGCCUUCGGGCGCUUUGGGAACGGCCUGCGUAAGAUUAGAUAGUUGGUGGGGUAAUGGCCUACCAAGUCGACGAUCUUUAACUGGUUUGAGAGGAUGAUCAGUCAGACUGGAACUGAGACACGGUCCAGACUCCUACGGGAGGCAGCAGUGAGGAAUCUUCCACAAUGGGCGAAAGCCUGAUGGAGCAACGCCGCGUGCAGGAUGAAGGCCUUCGGGUUGUAAACUGCUUUUAUAAGUGAUGAUUAUGACAGUAACUUAUGAAUAAGGAUCGGCUAACUACGUGCCAGCAGCCGCGGUCAUACGUAGGAUCCGAGCGUUAUCCGGAGUGACUGGGCGUAAAGAGUUGCGUAGGUGGUUCGAUAAGCGAAUAGUGAAAUCUGGUGGCUCAACCAUUCAGACUAUUAUUCGAACUGUUGAACUCGAGAGCAGAAGAGGUAGCUGGAAUUUCUAGUGUAGGAGUGAAAUCCGUAGAUAUUAGAAGGAACACCGAUGGCGUAGGCAGGCUACUGGGCUGUUUCUGACACUGAGGCACGAAAGCGUGGGGAGCGAACCGGAUUAGAUACCCGGGUAGUCCACGCCGUAAACGAUGGAUACUAGCUGUUUGGGGUAUCGACCCCCUGAGUAGCGAAGCUAACGCGUUAAGUAUCCCGCCUGUGGAGUACGAUCGCAAGAUUAAAACAUAAAGGAAUUGACGGGGACCCGCACAAGCGGUGGAUUAUGUUCUUUAAUUCGAUGAUAACCGAAGAACCUUACCAGGGCUUGACAUCCAGGGAAGGUCUGCGAAAGUAGACUGUGCCUUUUGGAACCCUGUGACAGGUGAUGCAUGGCCGUCGUCAGCUCGUGUCGUGAGAUGUUAGGUUAAGUCCUUCAACGAGCGCAACCCUUGUGAAUAGUUGUAUUUUUCUAU
Molecule: ribosomal RNA, 929 nt
Filed under: metagenome
Description: bacterial SSU rRNA
Rfam family: Bacterial small subunit ribosomal RNA
Source: RNAcentral